RNAcentral lists this ribosomal RNA (428 nucleotides) under uncultured bacterium. Its description in RNAcentral is "bacterial SSU rRNA". It matches the Rfam family "Bacterial small subunit ribosomal RNA", at positions 354 to 796 of the family's 1533-position model. The record is from RNAcentral.
GUAGGGAAUAUUGCACAAUGGGGGAAACCCUGAUGCAGCGACGCCGCGUGAGUGAUGAAGGCCUUCGGGUCGUAAAGCUCUGUCGUAUGGGACUAACACAAUGAAGGUACCAUGCAAGAAAGGAUCGGCUAACUUCGUGCCAGCAGCCGCGGUAAGACGAGGGAUCCUAGCGUUGUUCGGAAUCAUUGGGCGUAAAGCGGGUGUAGGCGGAUUUAUAAGUCAGGUGUGACAUCCCAGGGCUCAACCCUGGAAGUGCACUUGAUACUGUAAAUCUUGAGUGUGGUAGAGGUUACUGGAAUUGUUAGUGUAGUGGUGAAAUACGUAGAUAUCAACAGGAAUACCGGAGGCGAAGGCGAGUAACUGGGCCAACAAUGACGCGGAGACCCGAAAGCGUGGGGAUCAAACAGGAUUAGAUACCCUGGUAGUCC